Proteobacteria bacterium ST_bin11 is the source of this 85-nucleotide non-coding RNA. Lineage: Bacteria; Pseudomonadati; Pseudomonadota. The record is from Rfam.
GGAGAGAUGGCCGAGCGGUCGAAGGCGCACGCCUGGAAAGUGUGUAUACGGCAACGUAUCGAGGGUUCGAAUCCCUCUUUCUCCG